CCCUUGCCCCCACUGCCGCCGUCCCCCCUUUGCCUUCACCGCCCAUGUCCCCUUGUUCCUUCGUCGAGCCCGCGUCCCUUCUGACUUUCUUCGCUCGUCGGGGACGCGACGCACACUGCAUCUUCGCCAUCCUUCUCACGUCGGGGACACACACGGCGUCGUCACCAUCCUCCUCGCGUCGGGGAAGGUGCCGCCGCCGCCGCUCCUCCGCGCGACCUGAGAUGCUGAGGCUGCCGUUCUCCUCCGCACAGCCAGGGACGACGCAAGCACCGACGCCCCCAUCCCCAGCUGCAUCAGUUCAGAGGAGAGAUUUGUAGGUGUAGUGAUGUAAGUACUGCAUGUAUAAGGGGAAAAUAACCUGCAAGACGAUGCAGUGAAAUAGAUGCAGGAUUCUUCUACUCAAACAUUAAGCGAGAAAAGAUGGUUUCUGCCGAAGGACGCCAAGUUGACGAACAUGUCAAGAAGAUCAUUGAAUUGAAAUAUAAGGUUCUGCAAAUUUCAUUCACAGAUCAGGAAAUUCUAAUCUGUGACUUGGUAAAUCUUAGAUCACGAAGAUAAAUUGAUAAUGCAUGGCUCACAUGUUGAUUGCAAGGUUAAGAAUGGGGCUACUACAAGAUACUUAGAAUUUCAUUUUUAGGAUCAAUGUUUCAGACAUCAUAGUUGAUUGCAAGGUCAUGAAUUCGGCUACAGAUAGAUAGUUUCACCUCUUGUAAUCCUUGGAUCACGUCCUUUGUAAUGCAACAUAGUCAAUUUAAUAUAUGAGAAGUUUCUGUUUGGCCUCCAA
Triticum aestivum (bread wheat) is the source of this 784-nucleotide long non-coding RNA. RefSeq lists it as uncharacterized. Lineage: Eukaryota; Viridiplantae; Streptophyta; Magnoliopsida; Poales; Poaceae. The transcript has 5 exons. The record is from RefSeq and is a predicted model, not a curated record.